Molecule: long non-coding RNA, 542 nt
Filed under: Homo sapiens (human)
Lineage: Eukaryota; Metazoa; Chordata; Mammalia; Primates; Hominidae
Description: HSALNT0149653
Source: RNAcentral
AAAAUCAAUUCAAGAUGGAUUAAAGACUUAAACACUAGACCUAAAACCAUAAAAACCCUAGAAGAAAACCUAGGCAUUACCAUUCAGGACAUAGGCAUGGGCAAGGACUUCAUGUCUAAAACACCAAAAGCAAUGGCAACCAAAGCCAAAAUUGACAAAUGGGAUCUAAUUAAACUAAAGAGCUUCUGCAGAGCAAAAGAAACUACCAUCAGAGUGAACAGGCAACCUACAAAAUGGGAGAAAUUUUUCACAACCUACUCAUCUGACAAAGGGCUAAUAUCCAGAAUCUACAAUGAACACAAACAAAUUUACAAGAAAAAAACAACCCCAUCAAAAAGUGGACAAAGGGCAUGAACAGACACUUCUCAAAAGAAGACAUUUAUGCAGCCAAAAAACACAUGAAAAAAUGCUCACCAUCACUGGCCAUCAGAGAAAUGCAAAUCAAAACCACAAUGAGAUACCAUCUCACACCAGUUAGAAUGGCAAUCAUUAAAAAGUCAGGAAACAACGGGUGCUGGAAAGGAUGUGGAGAAAUAGGAACA